CGGGAUGUAAUUCAGUGGUCAGAAGCCUUGGUUUUGGGACCAAGGAGUCGUGGGUUCAAAUCCUACCAUCCCGACCA
Molecule: transfer RNA, 77 nt
Filed under: Leptolyngbya sp. Cla-17
Lineage: Bacteria; Bacillati; Cyanobacteriota; Cyanophyceae; Leptolyngbyales; Leptolyngbyaceae
Description: tRNA-Gln
Rfam family: tRNA
About the family: Transfer RNA (tRNA) molecules are approximately 80 nucleotides in length. Their secondary structure includes four short double-helical elements and three loops (D, anti-codon, and T loops).
Source: RNAcentral